UACGAAGGGGGCUAGCGUUGUUCGGAAUCACUGGGCGUAAAGCGCACGUAGGCGGACGUUUUAAGUCAGGGGUGAACCAGGCUCAACCCUGGAACUGCCCUUGAUACUGGACGUCUCGAGUCCGGGAGAGGUGAGUGGAACUCCGAGUGUAGAGGUGAAAUUCGUAGAUAUUCGGAAGAACACCAGUGGCGAAGGCGGCUCACUGGCCCGGUACUGACGCUGAGGUGCGAAAGCGUGGGAGCAACAGG
Molecule: ribosomal RNA, 248 nt
Filed under: uncultured bacterium
Lineage: Bacteria
Description: partial 16S ribosomal RNA
Rfam family: Bacterial small subunit ribosomal RNA
Source: RNAcentral